Molecule: transfer RNA, 74 nt
Filed under: Phycisphaerales bacterium
Lineage: Bacteria; Pseudomonadati; Planctomycetota; Phycisphaerae; Phycisphaerales
Description: tRNA-Val
Rfam family: tRNA
About the family: Transfer RNA (tRNA) molecules are approximately 80 nucleotides in length. Their secondary structure includes four short double-helical elements and three loops (D, anti-codon, and T loops).
Source: RNAcentral
GGGCGAGUAGCUCAGUUGGCUAGAGCAUCCGCUUUACACGCGAAAGGUCCGGGGUUCGAGUCCCCGCUCGCCCA